This 901-nucleotide ribosomal RNA is filed under the name Antillattus cf. applanatus JXZ-2013. RNAcentral's name for it is "eukaryotic LSU rRNA". It matches the Rfam family "Eukaryotic large subunit ribosomal RNA", at positions 184 to 808 of the family's 3401-position model. Lineage: Eukaryota; Metazoa; Arthropoda; Arachnida; Araneae; Salticidae. The record is from RNAcentral.
AGUCCCCCUGACCGGGGCCUGUCCGUAGCGGGUGCGAGGCCCAUAGCCGCCGCGGCCGACUCGAAUGCGAUCUCCUUGGAGUCGGGUUGCUUGGGAGUGCAGCCCUAAUCGGGUGGUAAACUCCACCUAAGGCUAAAUACCGCCGUGAGACCGAUAGCAAACAAGUACCGUGAGGGAAAGUUGCAAAGAACUUUGAAGAGAGAGUUCAAGAGUACGUGAAACUGCUCARAGGUAAACGGGUGGGCCCUCGAAAUCCUGUGGCGAGAGGAUUCAGUCUGGCUCGGCCGACUCGCGGGAGGAAAAAUCCGAGCAGGGCUUCCGCAUCACGCGGGCCGUCCUCCCGCGCAGAACUCGUCCGGUACAGACGCAUUUGUCUCUCGUCCCGAGGACGCUGCAGCCGGUCUGGAAGCUUGCAAGCGCGACGGCCUGAAGGUCGGGAGCCGGAAGGUGGCCGGUGGCUCGCCCCGUGCGGGUCGCCGGUUGUUAGCCGUCCCGACAGUGGCUCGUCUCCAGACCGUGGUGUCGCGAGUCCCUUCGGGGACUCCUCGUCUCCACCCCCACGGUAGCAGGACAGAACCCGGCCAGGGAGUUCGGCGCUGACCGCCGCACUUCCACGGAGUGGGCGGACGGGCUGGGACGCCCGAAUCGCCGGGACGGGCCUGCGGGGGACCGGAGGCUGGCAGCGAGUAGGUCGGUCACCCACCCGACCCGUCUUGAAACACGGACCAAGGAGUCUAACAUGUGCGCGAGUCAGUGGGUCUUGACUAGGCCCACGGGCGCAAUGAAAGCGAAGGGCUUCCGAGCGGAGUCCGAGUGGGGAUCCCCGNNNNNNNNAAGGUCGGGGCGCACCCGCGACCCGUCCUAUCCGGCUCGCCGGUUGGGCGGAGUCUGAGCGUACACG